Molecule: ribosomal RNA, 467 nt
Filed under: uncultured bacterium
Lineage: Bacteria
Description: partial 16S ribosomal RNA
Rfam family: Bacterial small subunit ribosomal RNA
Source: RNAcentral
GACGAACGCUGGCGGCGUGCUUAACACAUGCAAGUCGAACGGAAAGGCCCUGCUUUUGUGGGGUGCUCGAGUGGCGAACGGGUGAGUAACACGUGAGUAACCUGCCCUUGACUUUGGGAUAACUUCAGGAAACUGGGGCUAAUACCGGAUAGGAGCUCCUGCUGCAUGGUGGGGGUUGGAAAGUUUCGGCGGUUGGGGAUGGACUCGCGGCUUAUCAGCUUGUUGGUGGGGUAGUGGCUUACCAAGGCUUUGACGGGUAGCCGGCCUGAGAGGGUGACCGGCCACAUGGGGACGGAGAUACGGCCCAGACUCCUAGGGGAGGGAGGAGGGGGGAAUAUUGCAAAAGGGGGGGAAGCCUGAUGCAGCAACGCCGGGGGGGGGAGGACGGCCUUGGGGUUGUAAACCGCUUUCGCCUGGGACGAAGGGUGGGUGACGGUAAUGGGAAAAGAAGCACCGGCGAAAUACGU